AUACGUAGGUGGCGAGCGUUGUCCGGAUUUACUGGGCGUAAAGAGUGCGUAGGCGGAUGUUUAAGUGAGAUGUGAAAUACCCGAGCUCAACUUGGGUGCUGCAUUUCAAACUGGGCAUCUAGAGUGCAGGAGAGGAACGCGGAAUUCCUAGUGUAGCGGUGAAAUGCGUAGAGAUUAGGAAGAACACCAGUGGCGAAGGCGGCUUUCUGGACUGUAACUGACGCUGAGGCACGAAAGCGUGGGGAGCAAACAGGAUUAGAUACCCUGGUAGUCCACGCCGUAAACGAUGGGUACUAGGUGUCGGGGGUCCAACCUCGGUGCCGCAGUAAACACAUUAAGUACCCCGCCUGGGGAGUACGGUCGCAAGAUUAAA
RNAcentral lists this ribosomal RNA (373 nucleotides) under uncultured bacterium. Its description in RNAcentral is "bacterial SSU rRNA". It matches the Rfam family "Bacterial small subunit ribosomal RNA", at positions 523 to 898 of the family's 1533-position model. The record is from RNAcentral.